This 468-nucleotide ribosomal RNA is filed under the name uncultured bacterium. RNAcentral describes it as "partial 16S ribosomal RNA". It matches the Rfam family "Bacterial small subunit ribosomal RNA", at positions 28 to 507 of the family's 1533-position model. The record is from RNAcentral.
GACGAACGCUGGCGGCGUGCUUAACACAUGCAAGUCGAACGGCAAGGCCCUGCUUUUGUGGGGUGAUCGAGUGGCGAACGGGUGAGUAACACGUGAGUAACCUGCUCUUGACUUUGGGAUAACUUCAGGAAACUGGGGCUAAUACCGGAUAGGAGCUCCUGCUGCAUGGUGGGGGUUGGAAAGUUUCGGCGGUUGGGGAUGGACUCGCGGCUUAUCAGCUUGUUGGUGGGGUAGUGGCUUACCAAGGCUUUGAAGGGUAGCCGGCCUGAGAGGGUGACCGGCCACAUUGGGACUGAGAUACGGCCCAGACUCCUACGGGAGGCAGCAGUGGGGAAUAUUGCACAAUGGGCGGAAGCCUGAUGCAGCAACGCCGCGUGCGGGAUGACGGCCUUCGGGGUGUAAACCGCUUUCGCCUGUGACGAAGCGUGAGUGACGGUAAUGGGUAAAGAAGCACCGGCUAACUACGUG